GAAUAUUGCACAAUGGGCGAAAGCCUGAUGCAGCCAUGCCGCGUGGGUGAAGAAGGCCCUAGGGUUGUAAACCCCUUUCAGCGGGGAAGAUAAUGACGGUACCCGCAGAAGAAGCCCCGGCUAACUCCGUGCCAGCAGCCGCGGUAAUACGGAGGGGGCUAGCGUUGUUCGGAAUUACUGGGCGUAAAGCGCGCGUAGGCGGAUCUGUAAGUUGGGGGUGAAAUCCCGAGGCUCAACCUCGGAACUGCCUUCGAUACUGCAGAUCUCGAGUCCGAGAGAGGUGAGUGGAAUUCCUAGUGUAGAGGUGAAAUUCGUAGAUAUUAGGAAGAACACCAGUGGCGAAGGCGGCUCACUGGCUCGGUACUGACGCUGAGGCGCGAAAGCGUGGGGAGCAAACAGG
Molecule: ribosomal RNA, 400 nt
Filed under: uncultured bacterium
Lineage: Bacteria
Description: bacterial SSU rRNA
Rfam family: Bacterial small subunit ribosomal RNA
Source: RNAcentral